UACGUAGUCAGCGAGCGUUGUUCGGAGUUACUGGGCGUAAAGAGUGCGUAGGCGGUUUUCUAAGUUUGGUGUGAAAUCUCCCGGCUCAACUGGGAGGGUGCGCCGAAGACUGGAAGGCUUGAGUAUGGGAGAGGUAAGCGGAAUUCCUGGUGUAGCGGUGAAAUGCGUAGAUAUCUGGAGGAACACCGGUGGCGAAGGCGGCAUCCUGGACCGGCAUUGACGCUGAGGCGCGAAAGCCAGGGGAGCAAACGGG
This 253-nucleotide ribosomal RNA is filed under the name uncultured bacterium. RNAcentral describes it as "partial 16S ribosomal RNA". It matches the Rfam family "Bacterial small subunit ribosomal RNA", at positions 524 to 776 of the family's 1533-position model. The record is from RNAcentral.